Tigriopus californicus is the source of this 484-nucleotide long non-coding RNA. RefSeq lists it as uncharacterized. The record is from RefSeq and is a predicted model, not a curated record. The transcript is spliced from 2 exons. Lineage: Eukaryota; Metazoa; Arthropoda; Copepoda; Harpacticoida; Harpacticidae.
UUCCUUUCCGAAAGUAACCACGAAAACCGAGAGGCGGAGCCACUUGUUUUAGUGACGAGAUCGUUGCUCAAUACGACGCAAUCAAACGUCCUUUUGGAAAGAUGGUCCUAUUGGACUCUACGACAUGCAGGACGAUGACCCUGAUAAUGACGAAGCUGGAGAAGACGACGAGCGAGAGCUAAAUGAACUGCAUUAUCAAGCUACCGUCGGUGGGUUACUUUGAAAGGACCCUUUCAUCCAUUGGAAACCAAGCUCAAUGGAGUCACAGGAUUGGGAGCCGCAAAGAGAUUCGGAUUGAUCAAGAUUCGGUCAACUGCAUCCUAUGGACCAAUCUCCCAAUGAUACUCACGACACUUGGGUUGUGCUGGACUGGUGGACUCACUCCAGAUGGAGAAAGAAUCCAGGCCGAUCCACCUCAUGCUUGCCCAAUCAACCGGGCCUGGGCUCCAUUCCUAACCAUGAUGUUCGCUCCUUCUGUGGAAAU